CUGCACACUGUAAGGAUGUAAGGAUGCAUCCUCGGCGUGUGUCUGCGUUUGCAUGAGCAGAGAUUCCUCAGACGUGUGACGUCAGAGGCUUUCUGUGUCGCUGCUGACCAACCGAGGCCGUCACACCACACGACCAUGGCUUCUUUCACAGAGUCGCCGCCUGACCUCACUCAUUAUGGGAUGUCCUGUUCAGAGGGAUCCCUGCCAAUUCCCAUCCUCUGCUGCGGGCGUUUCACGGCAGUCUGCACAACAAUCAGUUUGCUCUUCAGGCAGACGUCAGCGUCGCUGAAAUGUUGGCGUUCGUGACGUGACUGCAGAUGAAUCCGAGCUCCGUGUGAGAGUUUGCAGAACUUCACUUUUAAACAACGAAGAACUGAACAAGCUUCAAAACAUCUCAGGAAUCAAAAUGCAGAUUCAUUGAAACGGACUGUGGAGAACGCUGGAACAACAACAUCCACCUGUGACGCUGUCUGGGAGCUUUCACCUGUAUCAUGAGCUCAGCGGUGAAGAAAUCAGGUUCAGUUUACUGAAGCAUCAUUGUAAUAGCAGCUACGUGACAGUUGAAGAGGGCGUUGUUUCUCCUCCAUGUUUCACAAAGUCGGCAACUUUCUUCCUCCCGUUAAACUGUCUGCUCAGUCUGAGCUCAUGUGCCAAGCGCUGGUCACCACCGUCUCAGAGGAGAUGCUGUAGCCUUGACCUUUGUGGAUCAGCCACUGAGAUUCAUCAGCCAGCGUCACUCUGAGGGAAGAGAAAACGUAAUGAGUCUGACGCUGCACUCGUCAAACAUCUGAGAGUCCGAGAAUCGAGCUGUCAAAGCACGUCUGUGAACUCAAGGAAGGAAAGGAACAAAUCUGAGGAUGUAAGAAGUGCAGCGGAGUCUGGACAGAGUAAGAAAUGCGACAGUUGGACGCAAUCUGAACCUUUUCAAAGAAUAGCAAAGAGGUGUGAUGUCAAAUGAAAAGAAAUGUGAUUUACAUCCAAAACAAAGCUUCGGCUGUGGUUUGUCUUUGUUUUGUAGCAAAGGUUAAAAAUGUUUCUUGCCUGGAAACAUAAAAACCAGUCUGGGCUCAGAUAUGAUGACAUCUGUCAUGUCGGCUUCAGAAGCAGCCGUUAGCAGAAGCUGCGGUAAAGUGGAAGAAAACUUUGAAGGAACCUGAGGCAGCAUCGUUUUCUGUGACGCUCGUAGGCUUGUAGGUUUUUAUAUACAGUCAGGUCCAUAAAUAUUUGUACAGAGACUUAUUUUCUAAUGUUGGCUCUGUACAUUACCACAAUGAAAUGCAGACUUGCAGCUUUGAUUCAAUGGGUUGGACAAAAAGAUUACAUAAAAAUGCGAGAAACUAAAGUACUGUUAGCACAAUCCCUUUGUUUUAGAAGCUCUAAAGAAUUUGGACAAAUUAAAUAACUGAAAAUAAAAUGAUCGUUUCUAUGACUUUAUUCCAAACACUUUGCUGAAUGCUAGUUUCCUGCUUUUUAAUGCUCUGCCACGCCUUUACUGCAACGACCUUCAGCUGAUGUUUGUUUGUGGCCUUUCUGUCCAAAGUUCAGAGUGAAAUGCUGAGCUGGGUUAGGAUCAGGUGACAGACUUGGACAUUGAAGAAUAUUCCACUUCUUCUCUUUAAUAAACUCCUGAGGUGCUUUGGUGGAUGUUCUGAGUCAUUGUCCAUCUGUUUUAUGAAACGAGUCCCAGUUUGGCUGCAUUUAGCAGGACGUGAGUACACAGUUUGUCUCUGAACACCUCAGAUUCAUUCAGCUGCUUCUGUCCUGUGUCACAUCAUCA
Molecule: long non-coding RNA, 1777 nt
Organism: Oreochromis aureus
Lineage: Eukaryota; Metazoa; Chordata; Actinopteri; Cichliformes; Cichlidae
Source: Ensembl